GUGUGAGAAUUCCUGGCCAGUUGAAGGGUCAGGGCCUGUGCGUUAUCUGACUGCCAGCAAGAUCACUGGUGUGUCCUCUUAUUUUUAACUUAAAAUAGGAAAAAAAAAAGUGCAUCUUUACAUAUUAAAAAAUCUUCAGGAAUUUUACUGGGAUAAUUAUCCAAAUAAAUUGCAAGCAUUCUAUCCAAAUGGAGCUCUUUCUGAGAUGAAGAGAAUUCUCAAUGUCAAGAUUUGAACAAGAAGAGAAUGGAAUACACAAUAUGGACAUCCAUAAAAAUUCAUCAGAGAGCAUUUUACUACUGAGCUGCAAAGGGAAAAACUUAAAAUGGAUAUGAAAAGUGAAGAAAGUGAUCAUAGGAGAAAACCAUUUCAGGUGUCUGAUGAUUUGUGAGCCUCAAGUGACUACUCUGUGGAAUCAUCUGUCCUUGCCUUUGAAUUAGCUUUCCCUAGGCCAUGAGUCAACAUUAGUAGUUUAUACAUCCAAAUUGAUGACAAGAGCACCUCAAAGGCAGCAGCCUCAAGGAGCAGCCAUGGCCCCAGACUUGUCGCACGGAUGCAGAAAACUUAAUGGAGGAGGCUGAGGUCAGAAUGGGAAGAGUUUUUAAAAAAUAAAAAGGGGAGCUAAUA
This 627-nucleotide long non-coding RNA is filed under the name Homo sapiens (human). RNAcentral describes it as "mir-99a-let-7c cluster host gene". The record is from RNAcentral. Lineage: Eukaryota; Metazoa; Chordata; Mammalia; Primates; Hominidae.